RNAcentral lists this ribosomal RNA (269 nucleotides) under uncultured prokaryote. Its description in RNAcentral is "partial 16S ribosomal RNA". It matches the Rfam family "Bacterial small subunit ribosomal RNA", at positions 524 to 792 of the family's 1533-position model. The record is from RNAcentral.
GACGGAGACCCCUAGCGUUGUUCGGAAUUACUGGGCUUAAAGAGCGUGUAGGCGGGACGGUAAGUAUCUUGUGAAAGCCCCGGGCUUAACCCGGGAACUGCUUGGUAUACUGCCGUUCUUGAGGCAGGUAGGGGUUACUGGAACCUUAGGUGGAGCGGUGAAAUGCGUAGAUAUCUAAGGGAACGCCUGUGGCGAAAGCGGGUAACUGGACCUGAUCUGACGCUGAGACGCGAAAGCGUAGGGAGCGAACGGGAUUAGAUACCCCCGUA